AUCAACUAUUUCUCUUUGUUAAGAAAAUUAUAUAUAUAUUCCGGGCCUGAGGUAUAUUAUUCACUUCAAAAAUUAAUUCGGGAUUUAAUUAAAUAAUUCCGUCACGAUUAAGUACCGGCCCAAAGAUUUAUUUAAAAGCCUAAAAGCUUAAUUACUUCCCCACCUUAUACAUCCAAAUAAAAUUUUAAGGCAUAAAGAUUUAAAUGGAGCCCAUAGAUUUAAUAAAUUCUCCAAUUUAAUUUGAGGCCCAAAUCCUUUAAAAUUACAAAGGCCCAAAUCCUUACUCCCACAUUCUCCUUCAUCCCUCACUCACGUCUAUCUCUUCCUCACUCUCUAUCUCGAUUUCUCUCUCGUCCCAAAUCGGAACAGAUCCUCCAUCUACCGUCGCCUCAUCCGAUUCACCUACUGCUCCAUCAUCGCUUCCCGGACGCGUCGACCACCACGUCGGGGACCACCGCUCGCCGGGAGAACUGGUGCUGCUGUCGUGCCGCUGCUCCGUCGCCGCCGGGCAGAGCUGCUGCUGGCUGCGUCGUCUACACAACCGUCCAGCCGAGCCGUCGUUCCUCCGUCGCACCGUAGGCAUCGUUGCCGUCGGCAGGCGCUGCACAGAGCGUCGCUCAGCGCCUCAGUCACCGCCGCCGUCAGACGCAACUGCGGUCGUCUCUCCCGGCAUUCAGUCGUCGCACCACCAAACUCCACCAGAGCCGUCGGUCAGUCUCUGCCACUCCGUUGCCCCGAUUGACCCCGAUACAGCCCCGACACCUCUGAUACCAACCCGAUUCGUUAAAGGUAAAGUGAGUCUUUGAGAUGUAAGGCUUGGAGUGUAGUGGCUGUCCAAAUUUUUGGAGUCUUAUGAUGAUGAAUCUUUCGAGAAGAUGGAGGAGAAGAGAAGAGAAGAGGAGAUGAAGAUUUGCUCACAUGACUAUCUCGUCUUACUUUCCUCUUUGGCUAACCCCUUCCUUCUAGGUUAGAGGUAGACAAAGUUGUACUCCCAUUUUCAUGUAAUACUAGGCAUUGGAGCCCCUAAAGUAGAAGUGUAGUACAAGUGUGUAGUCUAUUUCCCAUAUGUAAGCAUGUACCAUUUGUAUCUCCAUCAUUCUUGUAUUUUUAUUUCUCAAAGUGAAAUCCCAUUUUCUAAUAAAA
Long non-coding RNA from Salvia splendens (bonfire salvia), 1143 nucleotides. RefSeq lists it as uncharacterized. The transcript is spliced from 2 exons. Lineage: Eukaryota; Viridiplantae; Streptophyta; Magnoliopsida; Lamiales; Lamiaceae. The record is from RefSeq and is a predicted model, not a curated record.